Molecule: long non-coding RNA, 1128 nt
Organism: Pogoniulus pusillus (Red-fronted tinkerbird)
Lineage: Eukaryota; Metazoa; Chordata; Aves; Piciformes; Lybiidae
Exons: 5
Source: RefSeq, a predicted model, not a curated record
CUCUGUGGCAUCACAUCUCUGCAACUCGGGAAGUGCAGAGGGAGUGUUUUAUACUUCUUAGUGUGAAAGAAGAGACAUUUUAAAUAGAACUUUUCAACAAACACCUUUUAUUUGCCUUCAUGACGGAUGCCAGAGCUCUCCCAGUACACCUGCCUCAACUGCAAAGUGUCCCACUGUCUCUUGAUGUACGGAAAACGAGACCUCACAAUACACAGAGUGUUAUCAGGAAAGAUAUGUUUUAAUCAGCGCUGGAUAACAUGGGGAGGUCCUUCUCCAAAGUCCUUGCACACCUUCACCUGGUUCAGGUGAGGUUUGAAGGCAAGGAAGGAUUGUCCUGUCUAGGCAAAGCUGUGAGCUGUACCCUCGCUGAGUGGGACUUGGCUUCUUACUACGCUGCACACAGGAGUCUGCAGAGGUGCGCUGCAUCAGCUGAGACACAGGCACUCUAGGAAUCCCUGUGCAGUGAUUUACCUGUGGAGCUGAUGUUCUUCCUCAUCUGUCAUGGAUUACACUUAUCCUAUUUUCUCACCCCACUUUAUGCAAACCUCUAGUUUGCAGAGAUAGUUUGAGAUUCCUUCGUAUACUUGCAGUCCUUUCCAGCUUCAUGACGUACUUGGCUUUCUUCCAAGCCAAAGAAUUCUCUGAUUCAAAGUAUACUCUUAGCUGAGUAUUGCUGAUGGAAAUGAUGGACAAAACCUAACCCAGGAGGAUUUCUGCAGGAAUGGCAACCUCCUGUUUUGGAGCUGUUGAUUUUUUCCCUUCCACCAGUGUUUUUGCUACAGCAUAUGGAAAGAAGACUGUUCCAGGCCCUUCUCUCUCCCAAGUGGAGAUGAACGCAAAAGCAUUCCAAAGACACCACUCCUCAUGACGAGUUCUGUACUGCUGUGAGUACUGCUCUAUCCUGCUAACUUCUGUUUGUUUGUUGUGUUAAGAAUUGAAGUAUGAAGCUAAAAAAAGACAGACUGACAACACAAGGAGCUUAAUGUCACUUACUAAAGCUACAUCUUUAGCUGUAACUCAUUUAUUGUGUGUGUGUGUGCUGCUUUUGCUGUAGAGUGGGAUUCACAGGAGAGAUUCAUACUAUCACACCUGGAAUUGAACAUCAUCUUGCCCAUAUUGUAAAAGUCA